UGGGGAAUUUUGGACAAUGGGCGAAAGCCUGAUCCAGCAAUGCCGCGUGUGUGAAGAAGGCCUUCGGGUUGUAAAGCACUUUUGUCCGGAAAGAAAUCCUUGGCUCUAAUACAGUCGGGGGAUGACGGUACCGGAAGAAUAAGCACCGGCUAACUACGUGCCAGCAGCCGCGGUAAUACGUAGGGUGCAAGCGUUAAUCGGAAUUACUGGGCGUAAAGCGUGCGCAGGCGGUUUGCUAAGACCGAUGUGAAAUCCCCGGGCUCAACCUGGGAACUGCAUUGGUGACUGGCAGGCUAGAGUAUGGCAGAGGGGGGUUAGAAUUCCACGUGUAGCAGUGAAAUGCGUAGAGAUGUGGAGGAAUACCGAUGGCGAAGGCAGCCCCCUGGGCCAAUACUGACGCUCAUGCACGAAAGCGUGGGGAGCAAACAGGAUUAGAUACCCUGGUAGUCCACGCCCUAAACGAUGUCAACUAGUUGUUGGGGAUUCAUUUCCUUAGUAACGUAGCUAACGCGUGAAGUUGACCGCCUGGGGAGUACGGUCGCAAGAUUAAAACUU
Molecule: ribosomal RNA, 555 nt
Filed under: uncultured bacterium
Lineage: Bacteria
Description: partial 16S ribosomal RNA
Rfam family: Bacterial small subunit ribosomal RNA
Source: RNAcentral